Molecule: non-coding RNA, 71 nt
Organism: Podarcis lilfordi (Lilford's wall lizard)
Lineage: Eukaryota; Metazoa; Chordata; Lepidosauria; Squamata; Lacertidae
Source: the annotation of a GenBank genome assembly
GGGCAAUAGCUGAGUGGUAGAGCAUCUGCUUUGCAUGCAGAAGGUUUCAGGUUCAAUCCCAAACAUCUCCA